Molecule: small nuclear RNA, 107 nt
Filed under: Notamacropus eugenii (tammar wallaby)
Lineage: Eukaryota; Metazoa; Chordata; Mammalia; Diprotodontia; Macropodidae
Source: RNAcentral
GUGCUUACUUUGGCAGCACAUAUAUUAAAAUAGGAAUUAUAUAGAGAAGAUUAGUAUGGACUCUGAGCAAAGAUGACAUGCAGAUUUGGGAAACAUUCCAGUAAAAA